CGGGGCGGGGUGGAGGGGCGGGUGCCCUCGGUGGCGGGGAGCGGCGAGCGGGCACCCGGGGCGGCGGAAGGCGAGGCGGCGUGGCGGGUCGAGGCUCCGAAGGUCCUUCCUCUCCCCUCCUCUUCGAGCUUAGAAACUACGGGCCAUCGGCUACCGCUGCGGCUGGCAUCUCUUCGGGCUGCCCCACCUCUAGGCGCUCCACACCCGCCUCUUGGAGCUCCGGCUCAAGCGGCAGUAGGCCCUCUAGCAGCUGCUGAUGGGGAUGCAGCGGUACCUGUGGCUCAAGGGGCCGCAGCAGACGGCGGGCGAGCCGUGGAAGUUCAGGUUGCGGCUGAAGUUGAUGCGGUGCGAGUUCCGGUUGCAGCUGUACGAGUUCGAGUAGGUCGAGCCGGAGUGGAAGAGGCUGCUCGCGCCGCCGGAGGGGCGGGAGCCGGGCCUGCCGGCGGGGACGCAGACCGUCAAGUUGAAGGCCCCGAAGCUGGGCGCGUGGCUGCAGCGGCGGCGCCUGAGGUAGCUGGACGACGCGGCGUCGCCCUAGCUGAAGCGGGCGGUGCGGCGGCUCCCCCGGCUGAGCGCGGCGAAGCGGCUCGACGAGUACAGGAGGCCGCAGCAGGAGUUGCGGCUCUAGGUGACCCAGUGGAAGGUGUCGCCGAUGCUGAAGCCGAUGAACGAGUUCGACGAGUGGCCGAGGUUGGACGGCCUGUGGUCGAGGCCGAAGAAGCUGGAGUAGUCCUAAAUGAAGGGUCACUAGAUGCUGUAGUUCGUGAACUACUCUAAGACGUUAUCGGAGGUGCCGCCCGACUUGUUCGAGCGACUCGACGAGCUGCAGCUCGCCCAGCCCUAGACGGUAGUCCGUCCGAGGCUAAGUGACGACUGGCGCGAGAGGAAGUUGUUCGAGUUCCUCAGUAUGAAGCCGCCUAAUUGACUCUUUAUACGGCCACACAACAUACCAGAUCCGUGUCUCCCGCCCCUUUGGUGGAGACAAGUGACUCAUUACCUAUCAAUUUAUUUACUACUUGAUAAAUACUCUCUUUCCUCUUUGGACAGACGACUUACGCACUACAGACUAAUAUAGGAGAACGAACUGUGGCUUUUCCAUAGUGAAAAGAGAGUUAACACCAUGAGGAGUUACUCAAACAAAUCCAAUCUACUGACUCAAAAACAACAAACUAAAACGUACGACUUCAACUACCUUACUACUUUGCACGAGAUCUAUGACCAAUUUAGAUGGAUACGACUAAGAAGUGUACUGGACAUCUCAAAUUGUGAACUAUCUAUCGUUUUUCUUGUGAAGAAAACAGUACAUGAGGGAGCCAUUUCUUUAUAUUCUC
Molecule: ribosomal RNA, 1331 nt
Filed under: Triticum aestivum (bread wheat)
Lineage: Eukaryota; Viridiplantae; Streptophyta; Magnoliopsida; Poales; Poaceae
Description: partial small subunit ribosomal RNA
Source: RNAcentral